Molecule: ribosomal RNA, 525 nt
Filed under: uncultured bacterium
Lineage: Bacteria
Description: bacterial SSU rRNA
Rfam family: Bacterial small subunit ribosomal RNA
Source: RNAcentral
UCGGGAAUUUUGGGCAAUGGGCGAAAGCCUGACCCAGCAACGCCGCGUGAAGGAUGAAGUCCCUCGGGAUGUAAACUUCGGAAAUAUGGGAAGAAUAAAUGACGGUACCAUACCUAAGGUCCGGCUAACUACGUGCCAGCAGCCGCGGUAAUACGUAGGGACCAAGCGUUGUUCGGAUUUACUGGGCGUAAAGGGUGCGUAGGCGGCGCGUCAAGUCACUUGUGAAAUCUCCGAGCUUAACUCGGAACGGCCAAGUGAUACUGUCGUGCUAGAGUGCAGAAAGGGCAACUGGAAUUCUUGGUGUAGCGGUGAAAUGCGUAGAUAUCAAGAGGAACACCUGAGGCGAAGGCGAGUUGCUAGGCUGACACUGACGCUGAGGCACGAAAGCCAGGGGAGCGAACGGGAUUAGAUACCCCGGUAGUCCUGGCCCUAAACGAUGAAUGCUUGGUGUCUGGAGUUUUAAUUCUCUGGGUGCCGCCGUUAACGCUUUUAGCAUUCCGCCUGGGGAGUACGCUCGCAAGAGUG